CUCCAGGCAGACACAGAAAUGCGGAAGGUGGGAAGGCAUAGCAGCCCAGUAGACUUGUAGCUUAUAGACUGAAUCCCUUGCAGUUGUUACCAAAAUGUUUCAGAGUCUAAAUGGAGCUGGCAGAAGCAGCUUAAGUGGUCAGCCUGGACAUACCCAAAAAGAUUAGAGAGUUUGGAGACAGCGACGGAAAUAAUGAGAAAAUGGGACCUCCAAAUGAAGUAGGAAUUUGUCCCAAGGAGGAGAGAGGCAGAAAGCAAAAGGCCAGAGGUGGGAAAGCAUUGAAAUGAGAUUUGGAGCCACAUUUGAAAGCAAUGUGGAGGACAGGAAGGGAAAGGAAUGAGGUGGACUAAGCUGAUAUCAUCUGGCUAGGAGAGGGGUAGGCAACCUUAGUUCCUUUAUGACUGUAGACUUCACUUCCCAGAAUUCCUGAGCCAGGCAGCCUAAGGAGAUAAGGGGAAUUAAAGAAUAUGCAGGUUGGCCUGUUCUCCAACCAAAGAGAAACUGCUUCUGAGCAAGAGGGGGAGAGAGAGAGAGAAAGCAUAAGGAUUUUCUUUCUCCGCAUCACAUCGUCCAGCCAAGAGUCCCCUCCCUGCUGCCAUAGAGAGGCAGCUGGGGAUGCAAGGGAAUCAGGAGAUCAAUUGGCUGUGCUCUGCCAAUGGAGGAAAAGAGACUAUAAAUCACCAGGGAAUCAAGUGGGAAAGAGCCGGAUCAAGAAGUAGGUGGGAUCAGAGGGGUCAGGAUGAGGGAGAUCCAACCCAGAAGGAAAGAUUAAGCAGCCAAGAAAGACAGAGGGCUUGGACCCUCCUGGCCAGAUAAUCACAAGGACUGGGUAUGGAUACAAGUUCAAGAGUGGAGCUACCAUUAGUCACCCCUUCUACUUGGAUGACAUCAAUCUGUAUGCUAAGAGUUAACAAAGACAUCGACUUGCUGAUCCACCUGACACAGAUUACAGUGAGGACCUUGGAAUUAUCAUUCAUACUGGAGAAGGGAAGAAAAAGAAAUCAGAGUGGUAAAGAAAAGGGGAAAAAAACAGCAGGGGCAUGGCCUUAUUGAAACAUCCUAAAAAAAUGACAUCCCAGCUGUUUUGGGGAAAGUUCAGUUAUAUUUUGGAAAGAAAAUAUGAUUCCCCUGCAAAUGACUUCUGCAAUAGAUGUUAAAGAACAUGAAAAGUUCAGAUGAGAUCAUAUCAUUUCAUUAGCAAGAAUUUAAACGGCAAGCAUAGCCUCAUGCCUUCGUGUUAAUUGACCUUCACGAUCCAGGAAGAAACAAGACACGGCCUCUUUAACCACAACAUUCUCUUUUCUAAUGUAUGCAUUUUAUAGCCUCUGAUGUAUAUGGCUCUAUUAGUGUCUAUGAACAUAGAACAAUGAAGCUAGUUAAUGUAUUAUUUAUUUUAUUACCCCUUUGUAUCAACUGCCUUUUUCUAAUUUGGAAUGUUAUAUGCUUUGGUUCUGUAAUGGUUUUAUAAUGUGCACAUAGUCCAGUAAUUAAAAAUAUAUAUCUUGAUCCUUCACCUCGAAAGCCAAGUUUAUUUACCCUGGCUGAAUGCAGUCAGUCUUGGAUCUGGUAAAGGUCCAUGGGCUUCUUAGCCCUUUUUUAAGACUUCAUUCUUGAGGUCCAGACUGGGCUGGGCUAGACCAUUCCAUCAAUCAAAGACUAGCUUAGCAUUGCAGUUUAGACUCAUCAGCCACUUGAGAUAAAAGGAUUUCACCCAUUCUGAAUUGUUUCAACCAGAGGUUAUCAAAAACAAAUACAACCAAAUCAUGACUGCUUUUUAAAUAUAGUGACAAAUGUAAUUGACCAUCAGAAAGUGAUAUACCUAAAUUCGCAGUCCCUCUUCAGCACAACUCCAGUUUUCUGAGAUCCCCACACAAAGGCAUACAUCAUGAAAUUAAAAAAUGUAAAGAGGAGCCCAGGGCACUGGUUGGAUUCCAGUCUUUGAUUGGUCACUUGGAGAGGACAUUGGUUGGCUUAUGAUAUUCUCAGUAUUAAAAGGUCAAAGUCAAUGAAGAUGAUUACCAAGUGGGUUCAGACUGUUUUUGGGGAAUGAAAUGUGUUGAGUCCUUGGCGAAAAGCAGACACGAGAAGCAGUUGUAGUUCUCAGUUUUUUUUAUUCUGUG
Crotalus tigris (Tiger rattlesnake) is the source of this 2120-nucleotide long non-coding RNA. RefSeq lists it as uncharacterized. NCBI's taxonomy places the organism in Eukaryota, Metazoa, Chordata, Lepidosauria, Squamata, Viperidae. The record is from RefSeq and is a predicted model, not a curated record. The transcript has 5 exons.